This 445-nucleotide ribosomal RNA is filed under the name Paykullia maculata. RNAcentral's name for it is "partial 16S ribosomal RNA". The record is from RNAcentral. Lineage: Eukaryota; Metazoa; Arthropoda; Insecta; Diptera; Rhinophoridae.
UUUAAAUGGCCGCAGUAUAUUAACUGUGCAAAGGUAGCAUAAUCAUUAGUUUUUUAAUUGAAGGCUGGUAUGAAUGGUUGGACGAAAUAUUAACUGUUUCAUAAAAAUUUAUAUUAGAAUUUUAUUUUUUAGUUAAAAAGCUAAAAUAUAUUUAAAAGACGAGAAGACCCUAUAAAUCUUUAUAUUUAAAUUAUUAUAAUUUUAUAGAUUUUUUUUAUUAUAAUUAUUGAUAAUAUUUUAUUGGGGUGAUAUUAAAAUUUAAUAAACUUUUAAUUAUUUAAAUCAUUAAUUUAUGAAUAAUUGAUCCGUUAUUAAUGAUUAAAAAAAUAAGUUACUUUAGGGAUAACAGCGUAAUUUUUUUGAAGAGUUCUUAUCAAUAAAAAAGAUUGCGACCUCGAUGUUGGAUUAAGAUAUAAUUUUAGGUGUAGUAGCUUAAAUUUUAAGU